GAAUAAUCCAGCCAUGCGGCUUCUCUUGCCCCCCCUUUCAGCCAUGAUGGCUUUUCUUGGGCAGUCUCUGAAACACAGAAACUGGGGACUUCUUUCCUCUUCUGAAUGUGACUUAAAGUAUCCUCUGUUCAGCUUUCAUUCUGCCUGAGACACCCACAGGAGAAGUUAUUUCUGCCAUCAAGAGCAGCAGCAGCAACAGUACAGCCAUGCCAGGUAAAAAUAACCUCUAUGGAGAGUCCUGUCACAGACGAACCUGAAGGCUUUUACUGGGAGUAGAAAACCCUGGAGCCAAUCCUGUCAUUUUAUUCAGCAGAAAUGCAAAAAAGGCUGUUUUUCCCAUAAAUUUUCAAAAAGCAGGAGAAUGCACUUGUCUAAGGGGCUUCCCAAGCGGCACUAGUGGUAAAGAACCCG
Molecule: long non-coding RNA, 411 nt
Organism: Bubalus bubalis (water buffalo)
Lineage: Eukaryota; Metazoa; Chordata; Mammalia; Artiodactyla; Bovidae
Exons: 3
Source: RefSeq, a predicted model, not a curated record